RNAcentral lists this ribosomal RNA (831 nucleotides) under Triticum aestivum (bread wheat). RNAcentral describes it as "partial small subunit ribosomal RNA". Lineage: Eukaryota; Viridiplantae; Streptophyta; Magnoliopsida; Poales; Poaceae. The record is from RNAcentral.
AUGAAGAAGAAUGCCUCUCCUGGACCUGAUGGAUUCAAUGUGGGUUUCUACCUUUCGGCUUGGAGUUGGAUAGGAGAUGAUGUGACCAAUUUGGUAAGAAAUUUCUACACCACGGGUAUUGUUCCGCCUCAUCUCAAUGAUACUCAAAUUGCCCUCAUUCCGAAGAAACUUGCUUCGCAUCUGCCUUCUGACUUUCGGCCCAUAAGUUUGUGUAAUCUUGUUUACAAAAUCAUUGCUAAAUCUUUAGCCAAUAGGUUGAAAGGGCAUUUGCCUGAUUACAUUCACCCCUCUCAGCAAGCUUUCAUUGAAGGUAGGCGCAUAAGCAAUAAUAUUAUUGUCGCCCAAGAAAUUGCCCACUCAUUCUCUCUUGCUUCUUGGAAGAGCCUUGAUUUUAUACUGAAAAUUGACCUUGCCAAAGCUUUUGAUAGAAUUGAGUGGCACUUCAUUGUCUCGACUCUUGCUCGUAAAGGUCUCCAUGACCAUUUCAUAAAACUUGUUCAUGCAUGCAUUUCAUCCCCAACGUUUUCAGUGAUCAUUAAUGGUCAAUCUUUUGCAAAAUUCAAUAGUUCCAGAGGUAUUAGACAGGGAUGUCCUUUGUCACCGUAUCUUUUUGUCCUUGCAGUAAAUGAGUUAUCUCUUAUGUUACAGGAUGCCUUGCAAGCUAAUCACCUGACAGGUAUUUCGCUUGGACCAAAUUGCCCUCCUAUUCACUCUUUGAUGUUUGCAGAUGACCUGAUUGUUUGUGGCAAAGCUAAUGCGCAGGAAGCUAAUACUAUCUACAGCUUUAGACCAUUUUUGUUGUGAUUCAGGGCAAACUCCAAACUGGAGUAA